Sitophilus oryzae (rice weevil) is the source of this 241-nucleotide long non-coding RNA. RefSeq lists it as uncharacterized. NCBI's taxonomy places the organism in Eukaryota, Metazoa, Arthropoda, Insecta, Coleoptera, Curculionidae. The transcript has 3 exons. The record is from RefSeq and is a predicted model, not a curated record.
AAAAUAUGUGAGAAAUGAGGUAUCUACCUAAUGGUAGGAAGAAAUUAUUUAUGUAAUGGUAGGAAAAAUAAUUUCACUUUAAUUACGUAUUAGAAAAUCAGUAAUCUUAAAUUAGGAUGCAUCAAUGGAGAAGGCAAUUGUAAUCACAAUACAAUAAUAGAUCUACAAAUACCAAGCAAUACAUUAAAUCAAAAAUUGUCAGCUUAUUGAUAGCUCGAUUACCAGUCAAAUAGUUUCGAUG